Molecule: transfer-messenger RNA, 445 nt
Filed under: human gut metagenome
Description: Alphaproteobacteria transfer-messenger RNA
Rfam family: Alphaproteobacteria transfer-messenger RNA
About the family: Bacterial tmRNA, also known as 10Sa RNA or SsrA, is named for its dual tRNA and mRNA-like properties. Its role is to liberate the mRNA from a stalled ribosome. To accomplish this part of the tmRNA is used as a reading frame that ends in a translation stop signal.
Source: RNAcentral
CUUGAAUUUUUAAUAUUCUUGCUUAUAAUAACAGAUUGUCAGAGCAAUCUGACUAUGACACUAGAGGCUCUGUGAAAUAGGUGUUUUGGACCUGGGGGCAGUACCCAGCACCUCCACCAUAAGUUAUUUGAGUUAUUGGUCGCGGUUGUUUAAUUUCUGCAUUUUUGUACUGAUGGUACACUCUCUGCCGAAAUUGAGCGGUUUUGAGACUUUCAAAUGCUUACUUCUCUUAUGGGGGUGAAACAGGAUUGACAAGGUACAGUAAAGACAGGUAUGUCGUGUUCGGUGAGAUACCACCGUUAUCGGUUCAAAUUUAAAUGAAUGCUAACGAUAAUAACGUAGCUCCUGUUGCAAUGGCUGCUUAGUUGUAGUCGCAACAAACUUAAAUCCUUACGGCUUUGGAUAGCUGUGAGUGGGGUCUGGGCCACCUAUCAACAGAACGGCC